UGCAUUAAAUCAAGCGUUUAAGGGCGUAUGGCGGAUGCCUAGGCACUGAAAGGCGAUGAAGGACGUGGUAUACUGCGAUAAGUUUCGGGGAGCUGUAUGCAGGCUUUGAUCCGAAAAUUUCCGAAUGGGAAAACCCAACUCUUUAUGAGUUACUUUACACUGAAUUCAUAGGUGUAAAGAGCAAACCCGGAGAACUGAAACAUCUAAGUACCCGGAGGAAAAGAAAUCAAUUGAGACUCCGUUAGUAGUGGCGAGCGAACGCGGAACAGGCCAGUAAAAUUGGUAAGUUAAUUUGAAUAGUUUGGAAAAACUAACCACAGCAGGUGAUAGUCCUUUAGAAGUAACACUUAUUAAUUUUCUUGAGUAAAGCGGGACACGAGUAAUCUUGCUCGAAUAUAGGGGGACCACCCUCUAAGCCUAAGUACUCUUCAGUGACCGAUAGUGAACAAGUACCGUGAGGGAAAGGUGAAAAGAACCCCUAUUAGGGGAGUGAAAUAGAACCUGAAACCGUAUGCCUACAAACAGUCAAAGCUCUUUUUAGAGUGAUGGCGUACCUUUUGUAUAAUGGGUCAGUGACUUAAUUUAUCCAGCAAGCUUAAGCCGAUUAGGUGUAGGCGUAGCGAAAGCGAGUCUUAAUAGGGCGAAUUAGUUGUAUGAAUUAGACCCGAAAACGAAUGAGCUUACCAUGAACAGGUUGAAAGCAGGGUAACACUUGCCGGAGGACCGAACCAGUUGACGUUGAAAAGUCUUUGGAUGAUUUGUGGUAAGGGGUGAAAGGCCAACCAAAUUCGUAGAUAGCUGGUUUUCCGCGAAAACUAUUUAGGUAGUGCGUUAAAUAAACAGACUUUUAGAGGUAGAGCACUAAAUGGGCUAGGGGACAGAAAUGUUUACCAAACCUAAUAAAACUCCGAAUGCUAAAAGUCUUUCCUUAACAGACAGACUGUGGGUGCUAAGGUCCAUGGUCGAGAGGGGAACAGCCCAGAUCACCAGAUAAGGUCCCUAAAUCAUGAUUAAGUGUGAAAGGAUGUGGAGAUUCCUAAACAGCCGGGAGGUUGGCUUAGAAGCAGCCAUCCUUUAAAGAUAGCGUA
RNAcentral lists this ribosomal RNA (1088 nucleotides) under uncultured SAR11 cluster alpha proteobacterium H17925_23J24. RNAcentral's name for it is "bacterial LSU rRNA". It matches the Rfam family "Bacterial large subunit ribosomal RNA", at positions 1 to 1136 of the family's 2925-position model. Lineage: Bacteria; Pseudomonadati; Pseudomonadota; Alphaproteobacteria; Candidatus Pelagibacterales. The record is from RNAcentral.